Molecule: long non-coding RNA, 281 nt
Organism: Scomber scombrus (Atlantic mackerel)
Lineage: Eukaryota; Metazoa; Chordata; Actinopteri; Scombriformes; Scombridae
Exons: 3
Source: RefSeq, a predicted model, not a curated record
AGAGAGAGACAGACAUGUGGAGAGAGAGAGAGAGAGAGAGACAGGUGGAGAGAGAGAGAGAGAGAGAGGUGGAGAGAGAGAGAGAGAGACAGGUGGAGAGAGAGAGACAGGUGGAGAGAGAGAGAGACAGACAGGUGGAGAGAGAGACAGACAGGUGGAGAGAGAGACAGACAUGUGGAGAGACAGACACAGGUGGAGAGAGAGAGAGACAGGUGGAGAGAGACAGACAGGUGGAGAGAGAGAGACAGGUGGAGAGAGACAGACAGGUGGAGAGAGAGACA